RNAcentral lists this ribosomal RNA (1578 nucleotides) under Doedicurus sp. FD-2016a. RNAcentral describes it as "16S ribosomal RNA". It matches the Rfam family "Bacterial large subunit ribosomal RNA". The record is from RNAcentral. Lineage: Eukaryota; Metazoa; Chordata; Mammalia; Cingulata; Chlamyphoridae.
ACUAAAACUAGCCCUAAAACCACCCAACGCUACUAUAACCUUAUAAUAAACCAAAACAUUUAACCAACAAUUAAAGUAUAGGAGAUAGAAAUUUUACACUGGCGCUAUAGAGAAAGUACCGCAAGGGAAAGAUGAAAGAUUAAUUAUAGUACAAAACAGCAAAGAUUAACACUUCUACCUUUCGCAUAAUGAGUUAACUAGAACACCCUUGGCAAAGAGCACUUCAGUCAAACACCCCGAAACCAGACGAGCUACCUAUAGACAGUAAAAGAACUAACUCGUCUAUGUUGCAAAAUAGUGAGAAGAUCUAUAGGUAGAGGUGAAAAACCAAUCGAGCCUGGUGAUAGCUGGUUAUCCAGAACAGAAUCUUAGUUCAGCUUAAAAUUUACCUAAAGAAACCAAAACCAAUCCCAAUGUAAAUUUUAAACAUAAUCAGUAGAGGUACAGCUCUACUGAAACAAGGAUAAAACCUCAAACCGGAGAGUAAGCUAUAACCAUUUUUCCAUUGUUGGCCUAAAAGCAGCCACCAAUAAAGAUAGCGUUCAAGCUCAAAACCUAACACCAUUCUAAAUUUCAUAAACCACCUAACCAUCUCCCGACACCUAACACUGGAUCAAUCUAUAACUAAAUAGAAGAGAUAAUGUUAACAUCAGUAACAAGAAUUCCCUUUCUCCGCGCAUAAGCUUACAUCAGAACGGACACCCCACUGAUAAUUAACAACAAGGCAAUUACAACCCAYUAAAUAAUAACAUUCCAUACUUAUUGUUAACCCAACACAGGCAUGCAUACCGGAAAGAUCUAAAGAAAUAGAAGGAACUCGGCAAACACAAAUCCCGCCUGUUUACCAAAAACAUCACCUCUAGCAUUACAACUAUUAGAGGCACCGCCUGCCCAGUGACAUAUGUUUAACGGCCGCGGUACCCUGACCGUGCAAAGGUAGCAUAAUCAUUUGUUCUUUAAUUAAGGACCUGUAUGAAUGGCCAAACGAGGAUUUAACUGUCUCCUAUUUCCAAUCAGUGAAAUUGACCUUCCCGUGAAGAGGCGGGAAUAAACAUAUAAGACGAGAAGACCCUGUGGAGCUUAAAUUAAAUAGCUCAACAACAACCACCCAAACCGACAGGAACAAAAUACACAUGACACUGAGCUAUAAAUUUUGGUUGGGGUGACCUCGGAGCAAAACAAACCCUCCGAAUGAUAAGCACCAAGACUAACACGUCAAAGUCCACCGUAUCACUUAUUGACCCAAAACAUUGAUCAACGAAACCAGUUACCCCAGGGAUAACAGCGCAAUCCUAUUCUAGAGCCCGUAUCGACAAUAGGGUUUACGACCUCGAUGUUGGAUCAGGACAUCCAAAUGGUGCAGCCGCUAUUAAAGRUUCRUUUGUUCAAYGAUUAAAGUYYUAYGUGAUCUGAGUUCAGACCGGAGCAAUCCAGGUCGGUUUCUAUCUAUAACCAAUUUCUCCCAGUACGAAAGGACAAGAGAAAUAAGGCCAACAUUACACAUGCGCCUUAAGUCAUAAUARAUGAAGUAAUCUAAACCUAAACUACUAYAYCAAACAUGCUCUAAACCAGAGCUUU